UAAGUAAAUAGGUACUAUCAGUGUAUGU
RNAcentral lists this non-coding RNA (28 nucleotides) under Bombyx mori (domestic silkworm). The record is from RNAcentral. Lineage: Eukaryota; Metazoa; Arthropoda; Insecta; Lepidoptera; Bombycidae.